ACACGUCUACAUUAGAUACCCCUGUAGUCCCAGCCGUAAACUAUGCGCGUUAGGUGUAUCGGUGACCACGAGUCACCGGGGUGCCGAAGGGAAACCGUGAAACGUGCCGCCUGGGAAGUACGGUCGCAAGGCUGAAACUUAAAGGAAUUGGCGGGGAGCACCACAACGGGUGGAGCCUGCGGUUUAAUUGGACUCAACGCCGGGAAGCUCACCGGAUAAGACAGCGGAAUGAUUGCCGGGCUGAAGACUCUGCAUGACUAGCUG
This 264-nucleotide ribosomal RNA is filed under the name uncultured archaeon. RNAcentral describes it as "partial 16S ribosomal RNA". It matches the Rfam family "Archaeal small subunit ribosomal RNA", at positions 717 to 982 of the family's 1478-position model. The record is from RNAcentral.